GACGAACGCUGGCGGCGUGCUUAACACAUGCAAGUCGAGCGGUAAGGCCCUUUCGGGGGUACACGAGCGGCGAACGGGUGAGUAACACGUGGGUGACCUGCCCUCAGCUCUGGGAUAAGCCUGGGAAACCGGGUCUAAUACUGGAUAUGACUCCAUGACGCAUGUUGUGGGGUGGAAAGCCUUGUGCGGCUGAGGAUGGGCCCGCGGCCUAUCAGCUUGUUGGUGGGGUGAUGGCCUACCAAGGCGACGACGAGUAGCCGGCCUGAGAGGGCGACCGGCCACACUGGGACUGAGACACGGCCCAGACUCCUACGGGAGGCAGCAGUGGGGAAUCUUGCGCAAUGGGCGAAAGCCUGACGCAGCGACGCCGCGUGAGGGAUGACGGCCUCGG
This 391-nucleotide ribosomal RNA is filed under the name uncultured bacterium. RNAcentral describes it as "bacterial SSU rRNA". It matches the Rfam family "Bacterial small subunit ribosomal RNA", at positions 28 to 420 of the family's 1533-position model. The record is from RNAcentral.